Spodoptera litura is the source of this 87-nucleotide non-coding RNA. The record is from RefSeq and is a predicted model, not a curated record. Lineage: Eukaryota; Metazoa; Arthropoda; Insecta; Lepidoptera; Noctuidae.
AGUUUACAAAUAUCGUAUAGACAAUCUCCCGGUUCAGCCAAAAAAUCACGAGUUCACAACUUGGGCGAUCUUAGCUUCAAAUACGUA